GAUGAACGCUGGCGGCGUGCCUAAUACAUGCAAGUCGAGCGAACAGACGAGGAGCUUGCUCCUCUGACGUUAGCGGCGGACGGGUGAGUAACACGUGGAUAACCUACCUAUAAGACUGGGAUAACUUCGGGAAACCGGAGCUAAUACCGGAUAAUAUAUUGAACCGCAUGGUUCAAUAGUGAAAGACGGUUUUGCUGUCACUUAUAGAUGGAUCCGCGCCGCAUUAGCUAGUUGGUAAGGUAACGGCUUACCAAGGCAACGAUGCCUAGCCGACCUGAGAGGGUGCUCGGCCACACUGGAACUGAGACACGGUCCAGACUCCUACGGGAGGCAGCAGUAGGGAAGCUUCCGCAAUGGGCGAAAGCCUGACGGAGCAACGCCGCGUGAGUGAUGAAGGUCUUCGGAUCGUAAAACUCUGUUAUUAGGGAAGAACAAAUGUGUAAGUAACUAUGCCCGUCUUGACGGUACCUAAUCAGAAAGCCACGGCUAACUACGUG
Molecule: ribosomal RNA, 497 nt
Filed under: uncultured bacterium
Lineage: Bacteria
Description: partial 16S ribosomal RNA
Rfam family: Bacterial small subunit ribosomal RNA
Source: RNAcentral